This 253-nucleotide ribosomal RNA is filed under the name uncultured Flavobacterium sp. RNAcentral describes it as "partial 16S ribosomal RNA". It matches the Rfam family "Bacterial small subunit ribosomal RNA", at positions 524 to 776 of the family's 1533-position model. The record is from RNAcentral. Lineage: Bacteria; Pseudomonadati; Bacteroidota; Flavobacteriia; Flavobacteriales; Flavobacteriaceae.
UACGGAGGAUCCAAGCGUUAUCCGGAAUCAUUGGGUUUAAAGGGUCCGUAGGCGGUUUAGUAAGUCAGUGGUGAAAGCCCAUCGCUCAACGGUGGAACGGCCAUUGAUACUGCUAGACUUGAAUUAUUAGGAAGUAACUAGAAUAUGUAGUGUAGCGGUGAAAUGCUUAGAGAUUACAUGGAAUACCAAUUGCGAAGGCAGGUUACUACUAAUUUAUUGACGCUGAUGGACGAAAGCGUGGGUAGCGAACAGG